UGAGCUCCAGGCGUUCUCCUGUCUCC
Molecule: non-coding RNA, 26 nt
Filed under: Rattus norvegicus (Norway rat)
Lineage: Eukaryota; Metazoa; Chordata; Mammalia; Rodentia; Muridae
Source: RNAcentral